AAAACUCAAAGGCGAAAUGAAAGUAAAUAGUGGAAUAUUGAAUUUUAUUGAAUUUUUUCUUUAUUAUUUGAUUUCCCUAUAGGGAAGAUGAAAGCUAUAUUUGAAAUUUAUUUUUAAAUUAUAAGCUUUCCGCAUUCCCGGGGCGCUUGUCUCUCGCUUUGCGAGUCAGUGCGCACCUAGAGCGUACACGCUGAUACCCGAAAGAUGGUGAACUAUGCCUGGCCAGGACGAAGCCAGGGGAAACCCUGGUGGAGGUCCGCAGCGAUUCUGACGUGCAAAUCGAUCGUCGGAGCUGGGUAUAGGGGCGAAAGACCAAUCGAACCAUCUAGUAGCUGGUUCCCUCUGAAGUUUCCCUCAGGAUAGCUYGCAUUCGGUUGAGACGAGUCUCAUCCGGUAGA
RNAcentral lists this ribosomal RNA (398 nucleotides) under Gardena sp. RNAcentral describes it as "partial large subunit ribosomal RNA". Lineage: Eukaryota; Metazoa; Arthropoda; Insecta; Hemiptera; Reduviidae. The record is from RNAcentral.